RNAcentral lists this transfer RNA (73 nucleotides) under Myxocyprinus asiaticus (Chinese sucker). RNAcentral describes it as "tRNA-Ile". Lineage: Eukaryota; Metazoa; Chordata; Actinopteri; Cypriniformes; Catostomidae. The record is from RNAcentral.
AGGAACUGUGCCUGAAUACCCAAGGACCACUUUGAUAGAGUGGCUAAUGGGGGUGUAAAUCCCCCCAGUUCCU